RNAcentral lists this long non-coding RNA (316 nucleotides) under Heterocephalus glaber (naked mole-rat). RNAcentral's name for it is "lncRNA (ENSHGLG00000048294.1)". Lineage: Eukaryota; Metazoa; Chordata; Mammalia; Rodentia; Bathyergidae. The record is from RNAcentral.
CGCGUGGGGCGCGGCGAGAGCAGUCAGCCACCCGGGCACUGGGCGCGGCGGGGCGGGCCGGACGCAGAGCGCCCUCCCGGCACGGCUGUUUGUCCAGCAGCCUGCAGCGCUCCUAGGCGCCGCUGCUUUUCCCCACUCUGCCCUUCAGCGACAGCCUCUGGCGGCCCAAGUGGACGUGGCAGGUUGUCCGGUCACCUGCCCAGGCGGUUGGUCAGAAGGGGACAGCAGUGGAAUAAGUGGCUGGUGAAUAAACAUCGGCACCAGGGCCACUGUGGCUGUCAGAGCCCUGCUGUCCCUCCUGGCUGGGAUGUUUUCG